GAGAACUCUGACCAUCGACGCGCGUGAGGGAUGAGGCCUCGGGUUGUAAACCUCUCUCAGCAGGGAAUAACGAAGUGAAGGUACCUGCAGAAGAAGCACCGGCUAACUAUGUGCCAGCAGCCGCGGUAAUACAUAGGGUGCAAGCGUUGUCCGGAAUUAUUGGGCGUAAAGAGCUCGUAGGUGGUCGAUCACGUCGGAUGUGAAAAUCUGAGGCUUAACCUCAGACCUGCAUUCGAUACGGGUUGACUAGAGUGUGGUAGGGGAGACUGGAAUUCCUGGUGUAGCGGUGGAAUGCGCAGAUAUCAGGAGGAACACCGAUGGCGAAGGCAGGUCUCUGGGCCAUUACUGACACUGAGGAGCGAAAGUGUGGGGAGCGAACAGGAUUAGAUACCCUGGUAGUCCACACCGUAAACGGUGGGCGCUAGUUGUGGGAACCUUCCACGGUUUCUGCGA
Molecule: ribosomal RNA, 453 nt
Filed under: uncultured bacterium
Lineage: Bacteria
Description: bacterial SSU rRNA
Rfam family: Bacterial small subunit ribosomal RNA
Source: RNAcentral